UCCCAACAUCGACUUAGGCUGCACUAUAUUGUUUGGGCCCCAAAAGGCUAAAAUGGGCCUAGGCGUUUGGCCUUUACGUGGCUUUCCUCACCUGUGAAACCAGCCUCCCCUCUCCCUGGCGGCUGGUGGACCUUUUCCUCUUUCUUGCGUCGUCCACCGGUGGCGGCGGUGGCGGAAGUAUUUUGCGGUGCCGCUCCACCGGCCUCGCGCCCUCGCCUCAGCAUACCCUUCAACAGGCGGCACCAGGCGAUGGUGAAUACGGCAACUGCACUCUCUCCCUUCCUCCUUUUCCAUCGGGCUGGCCUUCUUUCUUCACGGUGAUGCAAGCACCGCCGCUUCUUCGCACAAAGUUUUCCCUUUCCUCUGGUUUAGGUACCCACUACUCCAUACCUCUUCCCGAGACAUCAUCGCACUAUCUAAGUUAGUCAAUUGGGAAUUAGCAGUGUGUUGCUUUCGCGGGUUGCUAAUUUCAUCUAUUGAGUUCACGGGCCAGAAGCAGUUCAUGAUGUCCGUAACUCCAUGAAGGAAUUCCUAGAUUCGUUGGGUUAGGAAUUGAUGCACUGUUUGAAUUUAUGUGGUUUCAAAGCUUCCUUGAUUUAUGUGAAGGAUUUUCAAUUUGCUAUAAGGUAUGUGUCUCCUUGGUGGUACAUACGUUCAAAUCAAAAGUUUGUAGAAGUACAACGUCUACUACCCAAGUUCCCUUACCGCUGCAUCUCUUCCAUAGGCGUAAUCACUCACUGCCACACUUAGCGAGAAAUUCCCCUUUACCAGCAAAGCACAACGAGGCAGCGUUGAGGGGCAUGCAUGAGCUGAAAGAUAUGAUCGCCAUCACCCUUUCCUUCUAGAGCUACUACUUGAUGGAAUUUAGAUUUUCGUUGUAUUGGUACGAUUUAUGGUUUUGUCACUGUACUUUGGUGCAGAAAUCAACCAGGUAUUUAGUUUGUUAUACUCAAGUUGACUACAUCAAUCGGGCUCUACUUGGCAUCAAAUAAUGAAUACCGCUGGAUCCAGAAUGUUUUAUUUUGGUAGUAUUUAAUGUAUUGCAUUAUGCAUAAGGUCUAAACUGCAACACUUUGCACUCUAGCUCAAGUCGUUUUCUAUAGUUUUGCCUAUGUUCUUAUUCUUAGUUUUGGAUUUGAACAUUGGUCGGUGCAUGUUUUCUAGACCCAAGCAACAGCGAACGAUGCAUUGGAUGCGACAUGACAACUCCUCACCCGCACCUUGUUCGCCUUGGCCUCAUCGCCACCUUGUUUGUCCAACAAGGUUGUGAAUCUGGAGGUUGCACUUUGCCAUACAAGUUCCAGUCCAAUGGAUCAUUGGAACGGUGUAUGAAUCAUUUUAAAGGGAAGUGCUUAAAUGGCAAAAAUCUUCAGAAGAGUCGGUAGCCCCAUAACCCCAUCUUCCCUAUGGCUGGUCCGGAAGCAAAGAAACUUCUUUCAAAGAAGAAGCUGCACCGUUCCUCACAAGAGGAUGUCCAUGUGCCUCCACCCUUUUACAAUGGUUAUACUUUUUUAUCACAUACUCUUAUAGGAUUGCUCCAUGGUACAUUCAGUGGAGUAGUAAGUUGGAUGCGCACUAUAAAUUUUACUGAUUUGGAGUCUGAAACAACACAAUGUCCAAUCAGUACAUUUUCCUUUGGUGAGACAUAGAGCAAAUUUUUCUUUUCGUAAUCCUACGUUGUAUUGCACAAGAACUUUGACCAAGAUUAGUAAUUGUAUUCUUGAAUCCAUGUUAAGUUUCCCCUUA
RNA transcript from Lolium perenne, 1746 nucleotides. RefSeq lists it as uncharacterized. The record is from RefSeq and is a predicted model, not a curated record. Lineage: Eukaryota; Viridiplantae; Streptophyta; Magnoliopsida; Poales; Poaceae.